CAUGAGUGGCGGACGGGUGAGUAACGCGUGGGCAACCUGCCCUGUACAGGGGGACAACACUUAGAAAUAGGUGCUAAUACCGCAUAACGGGGGGAGCCGCAUGGCACCCCCCUGAAAACUCCGGUGGUACAGGAUGGGCCCGCGUCUGAUUAGCUGGUUGGCAGGGUAACGGCCUACCAAGGCGACGAUCAGUAGCCGGCCUGAGAGGGCGGACGGCCACACCGGGACUGAGACACGGCCCAGACUCCUACGGAAGGCAGCAG
Molecule: ribosomal RNA, 263 nt
Filed under: uncultured bacterium
Lineage: Bacteria
Description: partial 16S ribosomal RNA
Rfam family: Bacterial small subunit ribosomal RNA
Source: RNAcentral